GGGUAUGGUGAUGAUACAAGAGUAUUGUGGACUAGAGUUUCAGAUCUGGGAUUCUUCUCCCAGAAGUUGAAGAUUAACCCUUGGCUGUCUGAGCAAAAAAAAAAAAAAAAAAAAAAAAAAAA
This 122-nucleotide small nucleolar RNA is filed under the name Arabidopsis thaliana (thale cress). RNAcentral describes it as "JKHR08F8". The stretch from base 6 to 93 matches the Rfam family "Small nucleolar RNA Z157/R69/R10", at positions 8 to 93 of the family's 100-position model. From Rfam's summary of the family: Z157, R69 and R10 are members of the C/D class of snoRNA which contain the C (UGAUGA) and D (CUGA) box motifs. Most of the members of the box C/D family function in directing site-specific 2'-O-methylation of substrate RNAs. Lineage: Eukaryota; Viridiplantae; Streptophyta; Magnoliopsida; Brassicales; Brassicaceae. The record is from RNAcentral.